Molecule: long non-coding RNA, 5110 nt
Filed under: Nothobranchius furzeri (turquoise killifish)
Lineage: Eukaryota; Metazoa; Chordata; Actinopteri; Cyprinodontiformes; Nothobranchiidae
Description: lncRNA (ENSNFUG00015000282.1)
Source: RNAcentral
ACUCGUCUCUAGAUUUUGUACCCUUGUAUGUGUAUUUGUAACCUCGACUAACCACUGAUGUUUAUUUGGAUGGUUCACCUCAGGUUGGCUUCACCUCAGGAUUUCCAUCCAACUAUGUAAGGAUCUCACACCGGCUCGCUUCCUGGUUCACCAUCCACCCGCUUGGACCGACCCGCUCUCCCCCGCGCCCCGCUCCCUCUCUAACCCCACACCGGCCUCUCGGAAACAUCCCCCCUCACCAUGUCGGACCGCUCACAAUUCAUCUCCUGGACUAUUACCCCGGCUCAUCCCCUCCCUAGCUCUUCUGAUCUUCCCAAACCGAUAUUGCAACGCCCCAGGAUUAUUCACUCGUGCUCCAUAGGAUUCCCGGACUCCGCUCUGACACGCUCUCCAUUCACCCUGACCGACCCGCUCUCCAGCUCACCUCAUGCUCCCUCUCCUGGAGCCCCCACUUGGAUACACCCCGGCUCUCAAUCUGCCCCCCUCACACCAGUUCUUCCCCCCAAUUCCCAAUGCUGCACUCCCGUUCCAAAUCCCACUGGAUUUUCCAGUGCGCCUUCAGUUCCCCUUUUACAAUAAAUAUAAAUUAUUUUCUCCAUCCUUCUGUGUUCGAGUUGUGAUUCUGCCUGUCUUGGGUUAGACACAUUCCCCCAACCAUGACAAAGUCCUGAAACCAAACCCUUUCUCCUAGUGUUGCAAUUACACAUCUAGCUUAUGAAAUUAGCACUUUUGUCCUCUUGUGUAACAUCUGCUGCAGAUAUCCCACUAAAAAUGGAAAAGUUGGCAGAAACUGGGUCACAAAAGCAGGAAUCAAAACACCUUUGCUGAACUUGUUUAAUUCUUCAAUCAUGAACAAUGUUCAGAAAAAUUUAGAACUAGUUUAUAUUAAAUUUGGGUAAUUUAUUCAAACAUCAGGCAGAGAACUCGAUAAACAUCAUGUUUUCACUCUAAACAACAUAUUUAUUUUCAAUUUUGCUGAAUUUAUUGUAAUGGUGACAAGGAAAUUAAGAGUUUGUGAGCGACGGUGGCACAGGAGCUAAGUGCUCGCCCCGUAACCGGAAGGUUGCAGGUUUGAGCCCCGCUCAGUUUGUCACUGUCGUUGUGUCCUUGGACAAGACACUUAACCCCCCUUGCCUGCUGGAAGGACCGGUGGCACCUGUGUACAACAGCCUCGCCUCUGUCAGUACACCCCAGGGCAGCUGUGGCUAUGAUGUAGCUCAUCACCACCAGCGUGUGAAUGGGUGAAUGACUGUUUGUGUUGUAAAGCACCUUGAGGGGUUCCAGGACUCUAGAAGGCGCUAUAUCAAAUACAGGCCAUUUACCAUUUUACCCAUCAGGACAUAAAAAAUGAUUUAAUUUUUACAGUAUUUCUAAAUGAUUCAAAUCUAACACACAGAGAACAAUACAUGGUACACAUCCCGUCCUGUGUUCAGAUUUAUUAAACCAAAACAAAAACCUGAAAGAUGAGUGCAUUCGUGCUGCUUCUGCAGGAUCUGACAGCUUCAUCAUCUGUAAUGACCUCAGAGAAGCAACUGUUGCUGCUCAUCAGUAAAGGGUUAAAGGUCAUUUUAAAACAGUUCAGAGUUCAUCAGUCUACACAGAGAGUUUAUUCACCAGCAGCAAAUGCUGAUGAUGGACAUCUCUGCAAGUUCACAUCAAGGUCAGAGGUCGGUACUCAGAGAAAUGUCAAAAAAAUCCUACAGGCCUCAUUUAGGUCAGAGGUUAAAGUUCAGGAGAGGACAGUCUUGCUUGGCUGGAAGGGCUCCCACUGAAGACAACAUGGCAGCAUGACCUAGGUUUGUAAAAUUCUAUUUAAGUGACACAAGAACGCUGCUCCUCAUCAAAGUAAGAGAUUAAACAAACAGAAUAUUAACUGAUCACAAUUAGCUCCUUACAGUAUUAAAUAUGAGAUAAAAAACAUUUUACGAGCCACUCUUUUCACCACCUUCACUUAAGAAAUUUCAAUCUCAUGUCUAAAUUUGUUUUAAAGGUGUGGGUUACUUGUUUAAUCAACCCAUUUGCAGUGGUCUCUAGUCAGAAUAAAUGCCUCAUACACAAGUUGCUCACUCUGCAUUGACCCUGGGCUUUUCUACAAUCUACUUUGGAGAGUGAGACCCAUCCAAUAUGGCGGCGAUGCUGUUACACUAUCCAGCGCCUGAUGGGGCAUUUACAUAUUCAUGUCUACAGGGUCUACUUCUAUGUGAUACUGGUGCUGUAACAUGCAGUCAGUACUUCCGCUGGCGGACCGUAUAGACCUUUAAACAGACAUGGGACCCCAUAACACUGUCACAACUUUGAAAACGAACAUAAUGGAUGAUAGUAUGCCACCAGAACUUUUCCAAAAUAAAUUUUUAAGGUGUAAAAGUUGCAGAAUGGGGCUUUAAAACAAAAAAAGCCUUCCAUGUCUUGAGUCAAGAUCGGUGAGUUCAUGAAUGCUAAUUCACAGUGUGAUGUAGAUAAAUGAGGAUUUUCAAAUCCUAGAGUUUCAUCAUCUAUUUUCUAUCAGAAGAUAGGUGUAGGAGACUAUUUUCAUGUUCAGCCUGCAUGAAAAACUCAGAGUGACAGAUUUUUAUCAGAAAAAAACAUUAAAAAUGUGAAAAAAUAUAUAUUUUAUAUUUUUUAAUGAGUUUAAAGUAAAUAUAUAGUCAAACUAUUUUUUUUCUGAUUCCCUUAUUUUCUACCAUAAUUUACCCCAUAGUAAUCAGCUCCCUUUCUUUCCCUUGGCCUCUCUGACUGUCAUGGUAACACCCCUCACACUCCACUAACCCUCCCUUUAUGGGGAUUAGAUAUAGCGUUCGUUAUAGUGGGGUGAAUUCCAGGAACAAGUCACCGUUAAUAACCUACUGUCUGCGUGGGAAAAAUUGCCAGCAGCACUAAUUCUCCCAAGAACGGCUAGGAUAUUAGAUGCAUGGGGUACCCAGAGUAUGCAUGGCAAUCAGAAACAUGAAACAUGCAAUCAGCCGUUCUGAGUAUCUUUGAUGUUUGAUCAUUUUUUAAUUAACUCUGAGUCAGUAAAAUCCUAAAGGAAACUGCAGUCAGUCAAAAUUAAAAACUGAACUUUGUGUUUUUAUAGAGAAAUGUAUGAAAUCUUAUGUUACGACUUAAAGGUGUGAUUUACUGAAAUAAGCAGUUUUCAAAUAUUCUGAUUAUAAUCAGUCACUUAUUGGCUUCGUCAUGCAGGUUGAACAUGAAAACAGUCUCCUACAUCUAUCUCCUGCAUUAACUUCUGAUAAUAGAUGGUGAAACUCUAGGAUUAGAAAGUCUGACAGAUCUGCGUCACAUUGUCACUUCACGUUCAUGGACUCAUCCAUCUUGACUCGCAACAGGGAAGGCUGUUGUUGGAUUAGUGUCCAGGAAAUAGCAGAGAGCAUCUCAGCUAGAAGCUAACCAUUAGCAUUAGCAACUCCACAACACAGCAGAACUCCUCCAGGUUGUGCUAUUUGUGGCAAUAGAACAUCCAUGUUGUAGAGCAAAUGGAGUCAGUGGUAGAGUUGCGUUUCUGUGAGCCAAUCUGAGGUGAGAUGCCAAAAUAUCAGGAAAUAAGACUCCAAAUCCUGUCGUCUGAAGCUCUCGUUACAGUGGGGUGAAUUCCAGGAACAGAUCUGAUCUGACGAUUUUCUAGAUCCUGAAACAGGCACACCUGCUUUUUGUACCCAGAGUAUGACUUACAAGGCAUUCAUUCCUACUAGUGACCACUGCAAAUGUAUUGAUUAAAUGAAUGAACCACACCUUUAAAAAGAAGAUGUUUCUGGAUUUAAAUCUAAAACUACAUUUGAACUGGACUGCUCUACGGAUCCAUUUGCAUUUGUUCACAUCCGUGAAUCAAUACAAAUUCAACUCAAAUGCAAACAAGUCAAGUCCCUGUCUGUGUUGUGUGUAGGAGGAAGUGUAUACCUUCUGUUUGUCAAUGAUGGCACCAAUGGUUUUUCAUGGAAUUUGCUGUAGUUUGAUGCUCGUGUCUGAUUCAAAUGACCUUUUGUGGCAAAUAGUCUCAAUGUGUCCAACAUCAAGACAUGCAUCUUUACAUUUACAUGUAAAAAAUACCUGUCCAGCUGUAUUAAUCUGCCAGUGUCUGCCUAUGACAAAUGAUACUUGGUCUGCACUGAGUGUGGGAGGGAGGCAGUUCACCUACUUUUGGAUGUUCCGCAUCUUCAAACACUUCAAAGUGUCAGAGAUCAGAGUUGGUCCUUUGCUGUCCUCCGUCUAGCUGGAAGGCACUGGCUGAAACACUCAGAGGUAAAGAUGAUGACACGGUGAGAGAAACAACAUACAGGUGUAACCGUGCAGCCAGCCACUACGAGCCGAGGACGUGCAGUCCGACACCAACACCAAGAGCCUAGUCCUCCUACGUUGCAAAGCCGUAUGUCACUGACCUCAACAGACGUUGAGAAUCUGCUGAUUUUUGAUCAACACUUUAUGGUUUGUUUCCAAUAAUUAUUUAUUCAAUAGUGAUGGAAGCUGAAGGCCCUUUUGUUUUGGUUUUAAGUAAAAUCUUUGACAUUUUCUUUGUGCACAGACACAAAACUUCACCUCAACAUCUUCACCAUGUCCCAAUCAAACUGUAUUCUUACAACGUUCGCGCCUGAGCUGCCAGAAGGGUAACAAGUUACCCAAGUGUUUUAGGAUCUUUUUUACUGAAGUUUUUAUGGUUACAUCCAUUACAACCACAAGCUUUUCAUUGCAAAAGUGUUUAUUGACAGUUACAAAAUGUUCAUCCAAAAUUUCUCUUUUCAGCACUUCUGCAAGUCUGUAUUCUGGCUGGUUUAAUAAACCUCUGGAUUAAAUGCUCAUUCUUUAUAACUCAAUUCAAUUCAAUUUUAUUUAUAUAGCGCGAAAUCAUGACGAGUCAUUUCAAGGCACUUCACAUAAUAAACAUUCCAAUCCAGGUCAGUUCAUUAAGCCAAUCAGAAAUAAAUGUUUCCUAUAUAAGGAACCCAGCAAACACACACACACACACACACACACACACACACACACACACACACACACACACACCAAGCAAUGUGUCUAUGGUUACACUGUGAUUUCUUAGUAAAUAUUCUAUUUAGUGAGAGAUCAACUUUAUUGUAUUUAUCCUAGUGGAUCUAUAAUUAAACGGGUAAACUAGUAG